This 774-nucleotide ribosomal RNA is filed under the name uncultured Neocallimastigales. Its description in RNAcentral is "partial large subunit ribosomal RNA". It matches the Rfam family "Eukaryotic large subunit ribosomal RNA", at positions 24 to 631 of the family's 3401-position model. The record is from RNAcentral. Lineage: Eukaryota; Fungi; Neocallimastigomycota; Neocallimastigomycetes; Neocallimastigales.
UAUGUGAUCGUCUCUCGCAUAUCAAUAAGCGGAGGAAAAGAAACUAACAAGGAUUCCCCUAGUAACGGCGAGUGAAGCGGGAAGAGCUCAAAUUUGAAAUCUUAAAGGGUUUCCCUUUACGAAUUGUAGUUUAAAGAAGUGUUUUCUGUUGAGGUUUUGGUAAAAGUUCUUUGGAAUAGGACAUCAUAGAGGGUGAGAAUCCCGUAUUUGACCUUUACUUUCAACUUUGUGAUACACUUUCAAAGAGUCGGAUUGUUUGGGAAUGCAGUCCAAAAUGGGUGGUAAAUUUCAUCUAAAGCUAAAUAUUGGCGAGAGACCGAUAGCGAACAAGUACCGUGAGGGAAAGAUGACAAGAACUUUGAAAAGAGAGUUAAACAGUACGUGAAGUUGUCAAAAGGGAAGCGUUUGACACCAGUGUUGUUUUUCUGAAAAUCAAUUAAAGAACUGUUUAUGCUAAGUUGUUUAGACUUUAUCAGCUAACUGUUUAGUUUUGAGCUUUUCUUUAAUGCACUUUUCAGUUAACAAGUCAACAUCAAUUUCUUUUGCUGUAAAAAAGCUUGAGGAAGGUGGCUUGAGAUUCGUCUUAAGUGUUUAUAGCCUCUUGCCUAUGCAGUCGGAGAGAUUGAGGUCUGCAGCGUAGAUCCUUCGGGGCUAAAUGCAUUUGUGCUAAGUUAUAGCAUUUUAUAGACAACUUGUUGACUAUGAUUUGUCUUGUAGCUUACUCGCUUAUGUUAUUUUACCUACGCUUAGGAUGUUGAUCUACAGAGCGAGAGU